This is an RNA transcript of Zingiber officinale, 2316 nucleotides long. It is a transcript of the gene named protein SUPPRESSOR OF FRI 4-like, with no coding region annotated. Lineage: Eukaryota; Viridiplantae; Streptophyta; Magnoliopsida; Zingiberales; Zingiberaceae. The record is from RefSeq and is a predicted model, not a curated record. The transcript is spliced from 7 exons.
GUUCCCUGCUUCUCGCGGAUCGGGUCCUUAUAUUCUUCUCCCCGAGUCCACAUUCUACGAGCUGCAAAGCCCUAAUCUUCUUUUACUUCCUCCAUCCCUCUGUUCGCCGCUCGAGCCGAGGUGCAUCGAGUAAGACCUAUCCCCAGACGACGAGAGCCGUGAUUGCUCGGGUGAUCGGCGAUGGGAAAGAAGAAGAAGCGACCUUCGAAGGUUUGGUGCUACUACUGUGAUAGGGAAUUCGACGACGAGAAGAUCCUCGUCCAGCACCAGAAAGCUAAGCACUUCAAGUGCCAUGUUUGCCAAAAAAAGCUCUCCACCGCCGGUGGCAUGGCCAUCCACGUCCUCCAGGUCCACAAAGAGACCGUGACCAAGGUCCCUAAUGCUAAGCCCGACAGAGAUUCAACAGACAUUGAGAUUUAUGGUAUGCAAGGAAUUCCGCCUGAUAUCCUAGCGGCUCAUUAUGGGGAAGAUGAAGAGACAGCGGCAAAGACAGCCAAAGUGGAAGUUCCAUCUACUGGUUUUGUUGGUGGAGUGGUUCCUGGUUCAUUGGGAAUUAGAUUUCCAUCCCCACCUGCAUAUGCUGCUGUUCCUCCUGUAUACAAUCCAGUCUUUCAGUUUCAGCGUCCAACCUGGCCUAUUCCAGCUGUUCGUCCAAAUCCUUGGUUUCCUCCACAAGUGUCUGUUCCAGUUCCGCCACCUGUCAUAGCUCCACAGCAGCCCUUGUUUCCUAUUCAGAAUGCAACAACUCCUUUGACCUCCACUUCUACCCCUGGACUCCCUACACCACCUCAAGCUGGUCCACCUGGUCUACCCACAUCUACACCACCUUUGGUACCUCAACCUCUCUUUCCAAUCAAUAGUCCAGCUGGUGUACCUGCACAUUCAUCACCGAUAAUUUCUUCAGCCUCCCCAACACUGUUGAAAAGCAUUGCCGAUGCAAAUUCAGUACUGAACAGUGUUACAGGAAGUGGUUACAUCACCCCAAACAAUCCAGGUGGUGUAUCAUAUGCAAGCUCACAUAUGUAUGCUUCUGGUCCAAACACUGAGAACCCUUCAAUUGGGCCGCCUCCUGUCAUAUCUAAUAAACCCCCUGCUUCCCUUCCCACUACAAAUGAGGUCUACUUGGUUUGGGACGAUGAGGCAAUGUCAAUGGAAGAAAGAAGAAUGUCUCUAACAAAUUAUCAGGUGCAUGAUGAAACUAGCCAGGUAAGUUUUUACUGUUUUCUGUUAUAUGUUCUGGUGGAUGUGAAAUAGAUUUGCAAUUUGGAUGCAGAUCCUCAAGGUAGGAAUAAACCAAAUCUUUUUCAAGUUCUGAGUGUUAUCCUUCAACGAUCUUACUAUUGGAUUAAUUGCUCCGGAUUUCAAUACUACACUCACAAUUAUGAAUAAAUCUUUUAUGAACUAUGGCCUUUGGUAAUCAAUUUUCUGCUAGGCAGUAAAAAUAUAGUUUUGACUUGGGAUGAGCAAGAAAGAUAUUCCUUUCUAUUCCAAUCCUAACUGUAGAUUUCUUGCCAAUCUUUGGAGCCUCCAAAGUUUUCAAAUACUUUUUACAUAUUAUUUCUAUUGCUAGUAAAUCUUAUAAAACUGACAAGCUUGUGUUGCAAAUGAACGAGGGGUUUCAACCUAGCACCAAGGCCCAUGCGAAAAUGCUGUGGGGCUGAGUGGAACAACAAGAAUUUCUUGUUAACUGUUUUUCAUUGCAUUGGCGACCACAAUUGGUACAGGUCAGCGUUCGUUCAGAAACAAGUUUGCUACAAGUGUAGCUUUAUUGUUAAGCUUAUAGAAUUGCAGUAAACUUCUUGAUACUUUCUUCACUUGUCUGAUUAAUUUUUGCGGUUACACUUUGAACUAGAUGAACUCCAUUGAUGCUGCCAUAGACAGAAGGAUAUCUGAAAGUCGACUUGCUGGCCGUAUGACAUUUUAGAUGUCAUGCUACCGUGGGGAGUUGGAAGUCACUUGGCUAUCUCAGAAUGACUCAAAAUCAUCUAGCAACAAGGUGUGUUCUCCUUUCAGUGUUAGAUGGUCAGCUUGUCUGGAGGCGCAUUAGGUUUGUGAGACCAGCAGGCAUCGUAUGCAUAUGAAGAAUAUAUACAGGACCCAGAAUAUAAUCCCCAAUUUGAUGCCUAACUUUAUGUACUUGUCAGUCCUUGAGUUAAAGUUUUUAUUCUUAAAAUUGUUUGUCAUCAUAUAAACUGCCUGCUAGAUGUGGAAGUGAUCUUAGAGCGAAAUUGGUUGUAAUUCUUUUUGGUUGAAUCGGAUAUCUUGUUGAUUUGUUUAAUUAUCUGAGUUAGUGCUGAAGUAACUCAUCUUACUUUA